UUAAGCGACUAAGCGUACACGGUGGAUGCCCUGGCAGUCAGAGGCGAUGAAGGACGUGCUAAUCUGCGAAAAGCGUCGGUAAGGUGAUAUGAACCGUUACAACCGGCGAUGUCCGAAUGGGGAAACCCAGUGCAAUUCGUUGCACUAUCGUUAACUGAAUACAUAGGUUAACGAGGCGAACCGGGGGAACUGAAACAUCUAAGUACCCCGAGGAAAAGAAAUCAACCGAGAUUCCCCCAGUAGCGGCGAGCGAACGGGGAGCAGCCCAGAGUCUGAAUCAGCUUGUGUGUUAGUGGAACGGUCUGGAAAGUCCGACGGUACAGGGUGAUAGUCCCGUACACCAAAAUGCACAGGCUGUGAACUCGAAGAGUAGGGCGGGACACGUGGUAUCCUGUCUGAAUAUGGGGGGACCAUCCUCCAAGGCUAAAUACUCCUGACUGACCGAUAGUGAACCAGUACCGUGAGGGAAAGGCGAAAAGAACCCCGGCGAGGGGAGUGAAAAAGAACCUGAAACCGUGUACGUACAAGCAGUGGGAGCACCUUCGGGUGUGACUGCGUACCUUUUGUAUAAUGGGUCAGCGACUUAUAUUCUGUAGCAAGGUUAACCGUAUAGGGGAGCCGCAGGGAAACCGAGUCUUAACUGGGCGUUAAGUUGCAGGGUAUAGACCCGAAACCCGGUGAUCUAGCCAUGGGCAGGUUGAAGGUUGGGUAACACUAACUGGAGGACCGAACCGACUAAUGUUGAAAAAUUAGCGGAUGACUUGUGGCUGGGGGUGAAAGGCCAAUCAAACCGGGAGAUAGCUGGUUCUCCCCGAAAGCUAUUUAGGUAGCGCCUCGUGAACUCAUCUUCGGGGGUAGAGCACUGUUUCGGCUAGGGGGUCAUCCCGACUUACCAACCCGAUGCAAACUACGAAUACCGAAGAAUGUUAUCACGGGAGACACACGGCGGGUGCUAACGUCCGUCGUGAAGAGGGAAACAACCCAGACCGCCAGCUAAGGUCCCAAAGUCAUGGUUAAGUGGGAAACGAUGUGGGAAGGCACAGACAGCCAGGAUGUUGGCUUAGAAGCAGCCAUCAUUUAAAGAAAGCGUAAUAGCUCACUGGUCGAGUCGGCCUGCGCGGAAGAUGUAACGGGGCUAAACCAUGCACCGAAGCUGCGGCAGCGACACUAUGUGUUGUUGGGUAGGGGAGCGUUCUGUAAGCCUGCGAAGGUGUGCUGUGAGGCAUGCUGGAGGUAUCAGAAGUGCGAAUGCUGACAUAAGUAACGAUAAAGCGGGUGAAAAGCCCGCUCGCCGGAAGACCAAGGGUUCCUGUCCAACGUUAAUCGGGGCAGGGUGAGUCGACCCCUAAGGCGAGGCCGAAAGGCGUAGUCGAUGGGAAACAGGUUAAUAUUCCUGUACUUGGUGUUACUGCGAAGGGGGGACGGAGAAGGCUAUGUUAGCCGGGCGACGGUUGUCCCGGUUUAAGCAUGUAGGCUGNGUAGGUGGGGUAACGGCUCACCUAGGCGACGAUCCCUAGCUGGUCUGAGAGGAUGACCAGCCACACUGGAACUGAGACACGGUCCAGACUCCUACGGGAGGCAGCAGUGGGGAAUAUUGCACAAUGGGCGCAAGCCUGAUGCAGCCAUGCCGCGUGUGUGAAGAAGGCCUUCGGGUUGUAAAGCACUUUCAGCGGGGAGGAAGGCGUUAAGGUUAAUAACCUCAUCGAUUGACGUUACCCGCAGAAGAAGCACCGGCUAACUCCGUGCCAGCAGCCGCGGUAAUACGGAGGGUGCAAGCGUUAAUCGGAAUUACUGGGCGUAAAGCGCACGCAGGCGGUCUGUCAAGUCGGAUGUGAAAUCCCCGGGCUCAACCUGGGAACUGCAUUCGAAACUGGCAGGCUAGAGUCUUGUAGAGGGGGGUAGAAUUCCAGGUGUAGCGGUGAAAUGCGUAGAGAUCUGGAGGAAUACCGGUGGCGAAGGCGGCCCCCUGGACAAAGACUGACGCUCAGGUGCGAAAGCGUGGGGAGCAAACAGGAUUAGAUACCCUGGUAGUCCACGCCGUAAACGAUGUCGAUUUGGAGGUUGUGCCCUUGAGGCGUGGCUUCCGGAGCUAACGCGUUAAAUCGACCGCCUGGGGAGUACGGCCGCAAGGUUAAAACUCAAAUGAAUUGACGGGGGCCCGCACAAGCGGUGGAGCAUGUGGUUUAAUUCGAUGCAACGCGAAGAACCUUACCUGGUCUUGACAUCCACAGAACUUACCAGAGAUGCAUUGGUGCCUUCGGGAACUGUGAGACAGGUGCUGCAUGGCUGUCGUCAGCUCGUGUUGUGAAAUGUUGGGUUAAGUCCCGCAACGAGCGCAACCCUUAUCCUU
This 2350-nucleotide ribosomal RNA is filed under the name Klebsiella pneumoniae. RNAcentral's name for it is "bacterial LSU rRNA". The stretch from base 1 to 1661 matches the Rfam family "Bacterial large subunit ribosomal RNA". Lineage: Bacteria; Pseudomonadati; Pseudomonadota; Gammaproteobacteria; Enterobacterales; Enterobacteriaceae. The record is from RNAcentral.